AUGAAACUUCAUUCGGAAGGUUUUCCAGCACAGAAGCCACCUCUCAUAAUCAUCAUAAAAUUGAUAAAACACUGCUUCAUGAAUUCUUUUUAUUCGUUUCGAGAGCAAUUGAUGAUUCAUUUCUUUCGAUGACCUCUUAUCAGAAGUUUUCUGAUUUCCAUGAUCGAGGUAUUGGCAUUUCGAAAUAUUUGAUUGACGAUCACAAACUAUAUUUUUCAAUGAUUCCAUGAGUGACAGAUUUUGAUGGAGCAAGCAU
Non-coding RNA from Caenorhabditis elegans, 256 nucleotides. The record is from Ensembl. Lineage: Eukaryota; Metazoa; Nematoda; Chromadorea; Rhabditida; Rhabditidae.